RNAcentral lists this transfer RNA (78 nucleotides) under Acidobacterium capsulatum ATCC 51196. RNAcentral describes it as "tRNA-Thr". It matches the Rfam family "tRNA". Rfam says of the family: Transfer RNA (tRNA) molecules are approximately 80 nucleotides in length. Their secondary structure includes four short double-helical elements and three loops (D, anti-codon, and T loops). The record is from RNAcentral. Lineage: Bacteria; Pseudomonadati; Acidobacteriota; Terriglobia; Terriglobales; Acidobacteriaceae.
GGCUGAUGUAGCUCAGUUGGUAGAGCACUCCCUUGGUAAGGGAGAGGUCACCGGUUCAAUCCCGGUCAUCAGCUCCAG